CCUACGGGCGGCAGCAGUGGGGAAUAUUGGACAAUGGGGGCAACCCUGAUCCAGCCAUGCCGCGUGUGUGAAGAAGGCCCUCGGGUUGUAAAGCACUUUCAGUGAGGAAGAACGCCUGGUGGUUAAUACCCAUCAGGAAAGACAUCACUCACAGAAGAAGCACCGGCUAACUCCGUGCCAGCAGCCGCGGUAAUACGGAGGGUGCGAGCGUUAAUCGGAAUUACUGGGCGUAAAGCGCGCGUAGGUGGCUUGAUAAGCCGGUUGUGAAAGCCCCGGGCUCAACCUGGGAACGGCAUCCGGAACUGUCAAGGUAGAGUGCAGGAGAGGAAGGUAGAAUUCCCGGUGUAGCGGUGAAAUGCGUAGAGAUCGGGAGGAAUACCAGUGGCGAAGGCGGCCUUCUGGACUGACACUGACACUGAGGUGCGAAAGCGUGGGUAGCAAACAGGAUUAGAUACCCUUGUAGUC
RNAcentral lists this ribosomal RNA (465 nucleotides) under Vreelandella stevensii. RNAcentral describes it as "partial 16S ribosomal RNA". It matches the Rfam family "Bacterial small subunit ribosomal RNA", at positions 338 to 795 of the family's 1533-position model. Lineage: Bacteria; Pseudomonadati; Pseudomonadota; Gammaproteobacteria; Oceanospirillales; Halomonadaceae. The record is from RNAcentral.